AUACUUCCCUGGCAGGGGAGACACCAUGAUCACGAAGACAGUUUUCCCAGGGCGAGGCCUGUCCAUUGCACUCUGGGUAUGCUGACCCCUGCAGUUUCCCCAAAUGUGGGAAACUCAACUGCAUAAUUUGUGGUAGUGGGGGAAAUUUAUUUUAAAAGAUUCUCUCU
Suricata suricatta (meerkat) is the source of this 167-nucleotide small nuclear RNA. Its record names the gene U1. It matches the Rfam family "U1 spliceosomal RNA". From Rfam's summary of the family: U1 is a small nuclear RNA (snRNA) component of the spliceosome (involved in pre-mRNA splicing). The record is from Ensembl. Lineage: Eukaryota; Metazoa; Chordata; Mammalia; Carnivora; Herpestidae.